CAAGCGGUGGAGCAUGUGGUUUAAUUCGAUGCAACGCGAAGAACCUUACCUGGUCUUGACAUCCACGGAAGUUUUCAGAGAUGAAAAUGUGCCUUCGGGAACCGUGAGACAGGUGCUGCGUGGCUGUCGUCAUCUCGUGUUGUGAAAUGUUGGGUUAAGUCCCGCAACGAGCGCAACCCUUAUCCUUUGUUGCCAGCGGUCCGGCCGGGAACUCAAAGGAGACUGCCAGUGAUAAACUGGAGGAAGGUGGGGAUGACGUCAAGUCAUCAUGGCCCUUACGACCAGGGCUACACACGUGCUACAAUGGCGCAUACAAAGAGAAGCGACCUCGCGAGAGCAAGCGGACCUCAUAAAGUGCGUCGUAGUCCGGAUUGGAGUCUGCAACUCGACUCCAUGAAGUCGGAAUCGCUAGUAAUCGUGGAUCAGAAUGCCACGGUGAAUACGUUCCCGGGCCUUGUACACACC
This 465-nucleotide ribosomal RNA is filed under the name uncultured bacterium. Its description in RNAcentral is "bacterial SSU rRNA". It matches the Rfam family "Bacterial small subunit ribosomal RNA", at positions 926 to 1391 of the family's 1533-position model. The record is from RNAcentral.